AGAUGUGAGUGCGAUCUGGCUGCCACGUCUGCCACUCACUGAUCACCAGGGUUGACUGGCUGAUCUGGCUAGUCAGACAGGUGCCCUCCUCCUCCCCCACCGCUCCAUGUGCGUCCCUCCCAGAGCUGCACACUCGCUGAAGAGGAUGACCUUCCCCCAUAGAGGAUGACCUUCCCCCAUAGAGGACGGCCCUUCGUCAGUCAAGGGUACACGUGUAGCUAUGCUUCCCUACCAGAACUUCCCAACACGCUCUCAAGGUCCAUUUGUAGAAGAAAGUACGGUAAUCAAGCUUCCAGAAGUCCAGACACAUCCAAACGAGGUGCUGCAAGUGGCAGCCUGCCUUUCUUA
RNAcentral lists this small nuclear RNA (348 nucleotides) under Camelus ferus (Wild Bactrian camel). RNAcentral describes it as "7SK RNA". It matches the Rfam family "7SK RNA". Rfam says of the family: 7SK was discovered as an abundant small nuclear RNA in the mid-70s but a possible function has only recently been suggested. Lineage: Eukaryota; Metazoa; Chordata; Mammalia; Artiodactyla; Camelidae. The record is from Rfam by way of RNAcentral.